AAUAUUGCGCAAUGGAGGGAACUCUGACGCAGCGACGCCGCGUGAGCGAUGAAGGUCUUCGGAUCGUAAAGCUCUGUCCUUGGGGAAGAAGGUCUUCGGACUUGACGGUACCUAAGGAGGAAGCCCCGGCUAACUACGUGCCAGCAGCCGCGGUAAUACGUAGGGGGCAAGCGUUGUCCGGAAUUAUUGGGCGUAAAGGGUGCGUAGGCGGCCUUUUAAGUCAGAUGUGAAAGCCCACGGCUCAACCGCGAGCGGUCAUUGGAAACUGGGAGACUUGAGUAUAGGAGAGGAAAGUGGAAUUCCACGUGUAGCGGUGAAAUGCGUAGAGAUGCGGAGGAAUACCGAUGGCGAAGGCAGCCCCCUGGGAUAAUACUGACGCUCAUGCACGAAAGCGUGGGGAGCAAAC
This 406-nucleotide ribosomal RNA is filed under the name uncultured bacterium. Its description in RNAcentral is "partial 16S ribosomal RNA". It matches the Rfam family "Bacterial small subunit ribosomal RNA", at positions 360 to 773 of the family's 1533-position model. The record is from RNAcentral.